CACUAGAAGAGAUCGAUAAUCAGCACUCCCAUCUCUCUUUAAAGCAGCUGCAAGGAGAGGAGGAUGCAGCUUAGGGCCAUGGUACUUUUCCUCCUGCACCAUUUCCCCCAGGGACCAAGGAGUUUGACACCAGCUGAACUAUCGGGGCAUCUGUUGUAGGAGUCUUGAGCAAGUCCGACACCUCAGCCUGGAAAGCAUAAAAGCUGUUAGAGAUAGCUAAAGGCUUUCUGUUCGCUGCAGGGAACACACAACAAGGUAAAGAAGAAAAAGCUGACAGAAAGGGGGAUGUGAUCUGGAUUGGGACUACAGGAAGGGCUGGGAGAGACUCCUAAUUGAAACCAUGGAGAAGCCACUGCCAGUCAGUGAAGACAAUACUGAGCAGUGAAGACGUAAGGCAACUUCCUAUGCUUCCUUUAUUUAAAAAAAAAUAGUACAAAAAUACAAUACAAUUGUAACAAAGAAUAUAUUAUACAAUUAUAACAAAGAAAAACAAAUUGUGAGGGAGUACUUCAUUAAAUUUUGAAUUCCAAAAAGUAAUAAACUGAAUCCAUCAUUGUACAAAUCUGUCUGCUCUUACAUUCAGUUCUGAUCUUCUAAAGUAAGUUAAUUUUGUAUGUAGUACAAUAUUUCAAAUAUGUUUAUACCAAUCUGGACAUACUUUUCCAUAGCCAAGACCGUUGUUCCUGGGAAAUGGACUCUCCCAAAUCUUUCUCCCAUUUAUAAUCAUAGUUUGGC
This is a long non-coding RNA of Hemicordylus capensis (graceful crag lizard), 735 nucleotides long. RefSeq lists it as uncharacterized. NCBI's taxonomy places the organism in Eukaryota, Metazoa, Chordata, Lepidosauria, Squamata, Cordylidae. The transcript has 4 exons. The record is from RefSeq and is a predicted model, not a curated record.